This 253-nucleotide ribosomal RNA is filed under the name uncultured bacterium. RNAcentral describes it as "partial 16S ribosomal RNA". It matches the Rfam family "Bacterial small subunit ribosomal RNA", at positions 524 to 776 of the family's 1533-position model. The record is from RNAcentral.
UACAGAGGUCUCAAGCGUUGUUCGGAUUCAUUGGGCGUAAAGGGCGCGUAGGCGGCGUAUUAAGUCAGCUGUGAAAUCUCCAAGCUUAACUUGGAACGGUCAGCUGAUACUGAUGUGCUAGAGUGCAGAAGGGGCAAUCGGAAUUCUUGGUGUAGCGGUGAAAUGCGUAGAUAUCAAGAGGAACACCUGAGGUGAAGACGGGUUGCUGGGCUGACACUGACGCUGAAGCGCGAAAGCUAGGGUAGCAAACGGG